CAGUCGCCGCGGUAAUACAGAGGGUGCGAGCGUUAAUCGGAUUUACUGGGCGUAAAGCGUGCGUAGGCGGCUUCUUAAGUCGGAUGUGAAAUCCCUGAGCUUAACUUAGGAAUUGCAUUCGAUACUGGGAAGCUAGAGUAUGGGAGAGGAUGGUAGAAUUCCAGGUGUAGCGGUGAAAUGCGUAGAGAUCUGGAGGAAUACCGAUGGCGAAGGCAGCCAUCUGGCCUAAUACUGACGCUGAGGUACGAAAGCAUGGGGAGCAAACAGGAUUAGAACCCCUGUAGUCCCUGUCUCUUAUACA
Molecule: ribosomal RNA, 301 nt
Filed under: uncultured bacterium
Lineage: Bacteria
Description: partial 16S ribosomal RNA
Rfam family: Bacterial small subunit ribosomal RNA
Source: RNAcentral